GAUUAAGUUAUUAAGGGCGCACGGUGGAUGCCUUGGCACUAGAAGCCGAUGAAGGACGUUACUAACGACGAUAUGCUUUGGGGAGCUGUAAGUAAGCUUUGAUCCAGAGAUUUCCGAAUGGGGAAACCCAGCAUGAGUUAUGUCAUGUUAUCGAUAUGUGAAUACAUAGCAUAUCAGAAGGCACACCCGGAGAACUGAAACAUCUUAGUACCCGGAGGAAGAGAAAGAAAAUUCGAUCCCCUUAGUAGCGGCGAGCGAAACGGGAAGAGCCCAAACCAACAAGCUUGCUUGUUGGGGUUGUAGGACACUCUAUACGGAGUUACAAAGGACGACAUUAGACGAAUCAUCUGGAAAGAUGAAUCAAAGAAGGUAAUAAUCCUGUAGUCGAAAAUGUUGUCUCUCUUGAGUGGAUCCUGAGUACGACGGAGCACGUGAAAUUCCGUCGGAAUCUGGGAGGACCAUCUCCUAAGGCUAAAUACUCUCUAGUGACCGAUAGUGAACCAGUACCGUGAGGGAAAGGUGAAAAGCACCCCGGAAGGGGAGUGAAAUAGAACCUGAAACCGUGUGCUUACAAGUAGUCAGAGCCCGUUAAUGGGUGAUGGCGUGCCUUUUGUAGAAUGAACCGGCGAGUUACGAUUUGAUGCAAGGUUAAGCAGUAAAUGUGGAGCCGUAGCGAAAGCGAGUCUGAAUAGGGCGUUUAGUAUUUGGUCGUAGACCCGAAACCAGGUGAUCUACCCUUGGUCAGGUUGAAGUUCAGGUAACACUGAAUGGAGGACCGAACCGACUUACGUUGAAAAGUGAGCGGAUGAACUGAGGGUAGCGGAGAAAUUCCAAUCGAACCUGGAGAUAGCUGGUUCUCUCCGAAAUAGCUUUAGGGCUAGCCUCAAGUGAUGAUUAUUGGAGGUAGAGCACUGUUUGGACGAGGGGCCCCUCUCGGGUUACCGAAUUCAGACAAACUCCGAAUGCCAAUUAAUUUAACUUGGGAGUCAGAACAUGGGUGAUAAGGUCCGUGUUCGAAAGGGAAACAGCCCAGACCACCAGCUAAGGUCCCAAAAUAUAUGUUAAGUGGAAAAGGAUGUGGCGUUGCCCAGACAACUAGGAUGUUGGCUUAGAAGCAGCCAUCAUUUAAAGAGUGCGUAAUAGCUCACUAGUCGAGUGACACUGCGCCGAAAAUGUACCGGGGCUAAACAUAUUACCGAAGCUGUGGAUUGUCCUUUGGACAAUGGUAGGAGAGCGUUCUAAGGGCGUUGAAGCAUGAUCGUAAGAACAUGUGGAGCGCUUAGAAGUGAGAAUGCCGGUGUGAGUAGCGAAAGACGGGUGAGAAUCCCGUCCACCGAUUGACUAAGGUUUCCAGAGGAAGGCUCGUCCGCUCUGGGUUAGUCGGGUCCUAAGCUGAGGCCGACAGGCGUAGGCGAUGGAUAACAGGUUGAUAUUCCUGUACCACCUAUAAUCGUUUUAAUCGAUGGGGGGACGCAGUAGGAUAGGCGAAGCGUGCGAUUGGAUUGCACGUCUAAGCAGUAAGGCUGAGUAUUAGGCAAAUCCGGUACUCGUUAAGGCUGAGCUGUGAUGGGGAGAAGACAUUGUGUCUUCGAGUCGUUGAUUUCACACUGCCGAGAAAAGCCUCUAGAUAGAAAAUAGGUGCCCGUACCGCAAACCGACACAGGUAGUCAAGAUGAGAAUUCUAAGGUGAGCGAGCGAACUCUCGUUAAGGAACUCGGCAAAAUGACCCCGUAACUUCGGGAGAAGGGGUGCUCUUUAGGGUUAACGCCCAGAAGAGCCGCAGUGAAUAGGCCCAAGCGACUGUUUAUCAAAAACACAGGUCUCUGCUAAACCGUAAGGUGAUGUAUAGGGGCUGACGCCUGCCCGGUGCUGGAAGGUUAAGAGGAGUGGUUAGCUUCUGCGAAGCUACGAAUCGAAGCCCCAGUAAACGGCGGCCGUAACUAUAACGGUCCUAAGGUAGCGAAAUUCCUUGUCGGGUAAGUUCCGACCCGCACGAAAGGCGUAACGAUUUGGGCACUGUCUCAACGAGAGACUCGGUGAAAUCAUAGUACCUGUGAAGAUGCAGGUUACCCGCGACAGGACGGAAAGACCCCGUGGAGCUUUACUGUAGCCUGAUAUUGAAAUUCGGCACAGCUUGUACAGGAUAGGUAGGAGCCUUUGAAACGUGAGCGCUAGCUUACGUGGAGGCGCUGGUGGGAUACUACCCUAGCUGUGUUGGCUUUCUAACCCGCACCACUUAUCGUGGUGGGAGACAGUGUCAGGCGGGCAGUUUGACUGGGGCGGUCGCCUCCUAAAAGGUAACGGAGGCGCUCAAAGGUUCCCUCAGAAUGGUUGGAAAUCAUUCAUAGAGUGUAAAGGCAUAAGGGAGCUUGACUGCGAGACCUACAAGUCGAGCAGGGUCGAAAGACGGACUUAGUGAUCCGGUGGUUCCGCAUGGAAGGGCCAUCGCUCAACGGAUAAAAGCUACCCCGGGGAUAACAGGCUUAUCUCCCCCAAGAGUUCACAUCGACGGGGAGGUUUGGCACCUCGAUGUCGGCUCAUCGCAUCCUGGGGCUGUAGUCGGUCCCAAGGGUUGGGCUGUUCGCCCAUUAAAGCGGUACGCGAGCUGGGUUCAGAACGUCGUGAGACAGUUCGGUCCCUAUCCGUCGUGGGCGUAGGAAAUUUGAGAGGAGCUGUCCUUAGUACGAGAGGACCGGGAUGGACAUACCUCUGGUGUACCAGUUGUCGUGCCAACGGCAUAGCUGGGUAGCUAUGUGUGGACGGGAUAAGUGCUGAAAGCAUCUAAGCAUGAAGCCCCCCUCAAGAUGAGAUUUCCCAACUUCGGUUAUAAGAUCCCUCAAAGAUGAUGAGGUUAAUAGGUUCGAGGUGGAAGCAUGGUGACAUGUGGAGCUGACGAAUACUAAUCGAUCGAAGACUUAAUCAA
This 2923-nucleotide ribosomal RNA is filed under the name Staphylococcus aureus. RNAcentral's name for it is "23S ribosomal RNA". It matches the Rfam family "Bacterial large subunit ribosomal RNA". Lineage: Bacteria; Bacillati; Bacillota; Bacilli; Caryophanales; Staphylococcaceae. The record is from RNAcentral.